This 76-nucleotide transfer RNA is filed under the name Candidatus Hydrogenedentota bacterium. RNAcentral describes it as "tRNA-Gly". It matches the Rfam family "tRNA". Rfam says of the family: Transfer RNA (tRNA) molecules are approximately 80 nucleotides in length. Their secondary structure includes four short double-helical elements and three loops (D, anti-codon, and T loops). Further hydrogen bonds mediate the characteristic L-shaped molecular structure. tRNAs have two regions of fundamental functional importance: the anti-codon, which is responsible for specific mRNA codon recognition, and the 3' end, to which the tRNAs corresponding amino acid is attached (by aminoacyl-tRNA synthetases). tRNAs cope with the degeneracy of the genetic code in two manners: having more than one tRNA (with a specific anti-codon) for a particular amino acid; and 'wobble' base-pairing, i.e. permitting non-standard base-pairing at the 3rd anti-codon position. Lineage: Bacteria; Pseudomonadati; Candidatus Hydrogenedentota. The record is from RNAcentral.
GCGGGACUAGCUCAGUUGGCAGAGCGCCAGCUUCCCAAGCUGGAUGUCGCGAGUUCGAACCUCGUGUCCCGCUCCA